CACGUAGGCGGCCUGGUAAGUCAGAUGUGAAAGCCCGGGGCUUAACCCCGGAAGUGCAUUUGAUACUGUCAGGCUUGAGUAUGGGAGAGGGAAGUGGAAUUCCUGGUGUAGAGGUGAAAUUCGUAGAUAUCAGGAGGAACACCGGUGGCGAAGGCGACUUCCUGGACCAAUACUGACGCUGAGGUGCGAAGGCGUGGGUAGCAAACA
Molecule: ribosomal RNA, 207 nt
Filed under: uncultured bacterium
Lineage: Bacteria
Description: partial 16S ribosomal RNA
Rfam family: Bacterial small subunit ribosomal RNA
Source: RNAcentral